RNAcentral lists this ribosomal RNA (429 nucleotides) under uncultured archaeon. RNAcentral describes it as "bacterial SSU rRNA". It matches the Rfam family "Archaeal small subunit ribosomal RNA", at positions 474 to 903 of the family's 1478-position model. The record is from RNAcentral.
UACCAGCUCUCCGAGUUGUAGGGAUGAUUAUUGGGCUUAAAGCGUCCGUAGCUGGCUUAGCAAGUCUCCUGUUAAAUUCAGCGACCUAAUCGUUGAGCCGCGGGAGAUACUACUAGGCUAGGAGGCGGGAGAGGUCGACGGUACUUUCGGGCUAGGGGUGAAAUCCUAUAAUCCCGGGAGGACCACCAGUGGCGAAGGCUGUCGACUAGAACGCGCUCGACGGUGAGGGACGAAAGCUGGGGGAGCGAACCGGAUUAGAUACCCGGGUAGUCCCAGCUGUAAACUAUGCGGGCUAGGUGUUGGGGUGGCUACGGGCCACUUCAGUGCCGCAGGAAAGCCAUUAAGCCCGCCGCCUGGGGAGUACGGCCGCAAGGCUGAAACUUAAAGGAAUUGGCGGGGGAGCACCACAAGGCGUGAAGCUUGCGGUUC